RNAcentral lists this ribosomal RNA (468 nucleotides) under uncultured bacterium. RNAcentral's name for it is "partial 16S ribosomal RNA". It matches the Rfam family "Bacterial small subunit ribosomal RNA", at positions 28 to 507 of the family's 1533-position model. The record is from RNAcentral.
GACGAACGCUGGCGGCGUGCUUAACGCAUGCAAGUCGAACGGAAAGGCCCUGCUUUUGUGGGGUGCUCGAGUGGCGAACGGGUGAGUAACACGUGAGUAACCUGCCCUUGACUUUGGGAUAACUUCAGGAAACUGGGGCUAAUACCGGAUAGGAGCUCCUGCUGCAUGGUGGGGGUUGGAAAGUUUCGGCGGUUGGGGAUGGACUCGCGGCUUAUCAGCUUGUUGGUGGGGUAGUGGCUUACCAAGGCUUUGACGGGUAGCCGGCCUGAGAGGGUGACCGGCCACAUUGGGACUGAGAUACGGCCCAGACUCCUACGGGAGGCAGCAGUGGGGAAUAUUGCACAAUGGGCGGAAGCCUGAUGCAGCAACGCCGCGUGCGGGAUGACGGCCUUCGGGUUGUAACCCGCUUUCGCCUGUGACGAAGCGUGAGUGACGGUAAUGGGUAAAGAAGCACCGGCUAACUACGUG